This 447-nucleotide ribosomal RNA is filed under the name uncultured bacterium. RNAcentral's name for it is "partial 16S ribosomal RNA". It matches the Rfam family "Bacterial small subunit ribosomal RNA", at positions 29 to 523 of the family's 1533-position model. The record is from RNAcentral.
AACGAACGCUGGCGGCAGGCUUAACACAUGCAAGUCGAACGCCCCGCAAGGGGAGUGGCAGACGGGUGAGUAACGCGUGGGAAUCUACCGUACCCUACGGAACAACAGUUGGAAACGACUGCUAAUACCGUAUACGCCCUACGGGGGAAAGAUUUAUCGGGGUAUGAUGAGCCCGCGUUGGAUUAGCUAGUUGGUGGGGUAAAGGCCUACCAAGGCGACGAUCCAUAGCUGGUCUGAGAGGAUGAUCAGCCACAUUGGGACUGAGACACGGCCCAAACUCCUACGGGAGGCAGCAGUGGGGAAUAUUGGACAAUGGGCGCAAGCCUGAUCCAGCCAUGCCGCGUGAGUGAUGAAGGUCUUAGGAUUGUAAAGCUCUUUCACCGAUGAAGAUAAUGACGGUAGUCGGAGAAGAAGCCCCGGCUAACUUCGUGCCAGCAGCCGCCGCAG